AAGCCACGCUGCUUCUCAAGCUAAUUCAUAUUCAGAUUUAUGGAAAGCUCAGCGUUUCACACCACAAGCAGGUGUCAGAAGAGAGUAUUACUGGAAAGGGAAUUGCCCUCUUUGGCAGACAUGAAUUUAUCAAAUUUUCACAAGACCGAAUUGGGGCAUGACGAAUGGAGGUCGGCCAAUGAAAGCUCAAUCUUUCUUCGCUGCAAUCUUUAGGUUAAGUUUCCACCCAAAGGUAUUUCGAGGAUAAGAAGAGAUAGCCCAUGAAGUUCCACGGGGGCAGAGGACUCGUCUACCAACUCCGUUACACUGUACUCUCCCACCAGUUUAGUACGGUGCUCUGCACACAGAGCGGUUUCAACUGUUAAUGAACUUUGGGCAGAUAGAACCGACGAAUAAGUACUAAAGACACGGUCACUUCGGGGAUCCAGAUGCCAAAGAGCUUCCUUGUGAAGGGCUGCCGCUUGAACCGGGCACCAAAAUGCGAAGGAGGAAGCUAACGGAGAUAUCCUUUUUUCCUACGCACAGCGUCGAGGGGGUCCCUCUCUCCCUGAAAACAGACAAAAACUAAUCCUUUGGGUGGUUGGGAGGAGGGGUGGAUGGGCGAAGCGGGGAGAAUUGCCAGACGAAGCGAUACACGGCUUGAAUAAGUUAUACGCGGCUCGAAGCCCGGGCCUUAUUAUAGCCGUAUCUACCGGUCACGGAACGGACGCGAGCGUCGGUCCCCAAGGGGCUGUUCCUCGCGUGCCACGCCAUACUUCUGCCUUAAAUCCUCGCCUACAGGGUUAUCGUUCACCUGCGUUUACUUUCUGCCCCGGUCGGGAGCUUGGGUCGUACACACCCGUGCCAGCAAUUGUGCCGGGAGCAAUCGCAGGAGCCGGUUCUGGGGUGUGGAGCCGCAGGCCUCGUGGGCGAGAGAGAAAGAGAGGGCGAGCGCGGCCCGUUUCCCGGCAUCCGGGGGGCCUCCCAAGACGGCCGCCCCACUCUCUCCCCGGGAGGGAGCCUGUCGCCCCACCCCGUCCUGUCACCACCGCCUUCGGUCAAGACCACCGGGUCGAGCGAUAACAAAUGAAACCCUAGAACCCUGGAAAAGGGACAGGAAGAGCAGAGCGAAGAAUGUGCGGAGGAGCUGGAGGAGGGCCAGUGUCCUCAGAUGAACCCGGCCUGCUCUUCCCCGGCCCUGCCUCUCCGCUGGGCGUUCAGGACCCAGCCCAAGUUCAGGGCCGUGCUCAGGGAGGGCCCACCCCCAUCCCAC
Ornithorhynchus anatinus (platypus) is the source of this 1252-nucleotide long non-coding RNA. RefSeq lists it as uncharacterized. Lineage: Eukaryota; Metazoa; Chordata; Mammalia; Monotremata; Ornithorhynchidae. The transcript has 3 exons. The record is from RefSeq and is a predicted model, not a curated record.